Molecule: long non-coding RNA, 861 nt
Organism: Drosophila navojoa
Lineage: Eukaryota; Metazoa; Arthropoda; Insecta; Diptera; Drosophilidae
Source: RefSeq, a predicted model, not a curated record
UGUGUCCCAAUCCAAGAUCCAGCAAGCCGGGUGCAGCGCUUGCAACGGCCAACAAAGUGGAUAGAAUCUGUCAGAGGCACAACAUGAUUAGCUUUUAACUGAGAACUGCAACUGUAAAUUGAAUGCGUGCACUCAGUUACUUUUAUACUGCAACGCGACGCACGCAGUCAACGCGGAUAGCGGACAGCGGACAGUGGACGUUGGACAGAUGACUAGCUAGAUACCCAGUCCGUGCCUAGGCCAGGCGAAUUCAACUUCGAUUUCUAUUUCGAUUUCGAUCUCGUCGUUCAGCGUCAACAAAGCGGGCCAGAGCAGCACCAAUUUGUGAAGUAUCUUUGAAGUAGACAACGACAGCGACAACGUCCGAAUGCGAUUCUUGUUGUUGUUGUUGUUGUUGUUGUUGCUGCCAUUGCGGAUGACGCAACAGCUUUGGAUUGGCUGGCAAGGCAGACCACUUGUCGUCAGACGGGCAGGCUGGGAGUUUUUUUGUUUAUUUUAUUUUAUUUUUAUUUUUUGCAGCCGCGCACUCGCUCGGGAUUUCUAAUUAGAAAGCAGCAUUCAGUGGAGAAUUCUACAUGUUUUUGAUUUGUUUGAGCGCGUUGUUUUCUAACCAAAUUGGUUGCCUUUUUAACCUUGCGCUUAACCACUUAAUUAGCUUAGAACACAAAGUGUUUGGCACACAUACUUGCAUACAUAGUUCGUCCGUUUGGGUGUAUCUGAGGAAUCCAGGCGAGAAUGCUGUCUAAUUAUUCGCAGCUGCUCGACUAUUUGACACGGCCAACAAUUGCAUAAUUAUCAUUGCUAACAAAAAAGAAUGAGUAUAAAAAAAAUAAAUAAAAAUCACAAAAUUACAACAAAUUU